GAGUAUUUUCGAACCUGCCAUAGAACAUUACAUUAACAUUGAAAUUUGUAUAAAUGUCAAAAGUUAAUACCUAUAUAGUUUUACCAAUAAUUAUUUAUAUAUA
Molecule: long non-coding RNA, 103 nt
Organism: Cotesia glomerata
Lineage: Eukaryota; Metazoa; Arthropoda; Insecta; Hymenoptera; Braconidae
Exons: 3
Source: RefSeq, a predicted model, not a curated record